Molecule: long non-coding RNA, 2576 nt
Organism: Pseudopipra pipra
Lineage: Eukaryota; Metazoa; Chordata; Aves; Passeriformes; Pipridae
Exons: 4
Source: RefSeq, a predicted model, not a curated record
GCAGCGGCUCCUUGGCUCAGAAGGGACAGGGACCGGGCAGAAACGUAGGGGAACCGUCAUUGAACUUAUCCAUCAUGAGAUAACAUGGGGAGCCGCUCGCCCUGACCUAUAGAGCUAGCGCGCAGAGCUCUUCCGGCGGAGCUGAGGGGAAGUAGUUAUGCCUUAAACUUAUGAGUAAGGAAAAUAACGACCCGGGGUGACGCCCGGGUCCUCACUGCCAAUGUGAGAGGAAUUUUUGCGCGGGUACAGGUCGCCCCCGGGUGCCCCGCCUACUUCGCGGGAUGCCCGGGUGCCGUGAUCUGCCCGACCCUCUGUGCCGCGCGUGCCAACGACAGAGCUGUUCUCUGUGUUCAGCUGCAGUGCUUGGGAUAUUUACGGCCCGCUCGUAGCGUCAUCCGCCCGCUGUGAUGCGGCCGGACACCGCCUCCUCAGUGCUCUAGCACGUGGUUACCGUGAAUUCGAAUUACUUUACAGAUCAAAAAUAGCUUAACUAGUGUCUCCCUCCUCCUGCCGCCUUCACUAAUCUGCCUUAAGGGCCUUCACGAAGCUAAGAAAUACAUCAACCCGCUACUAAUAUAUCAUGUGUCUGCAGGAAGUGAUUCCUUUACUAUGCUUCUGACGGAGGAAUUAGGCUAUUCAAAAUCAGACCAAAAUUGAAAAACGGCAGUGAAAGGGAAAACUGUCUUAUGCAGCUUGGGCGGAGGUGAGCUUCCAGGGAUGCCUCCUGCCCUACCUAUCUUGACUUGCAGGACUGUAGCUCUGGGUCUCACUGCAGGUCCUGGUGCUGCUGAGCCUCCCUCCCAAAGCCCUUUUGAAGCACAGAGCACCCCUAGGGCCUGCAGUGUGGGGUUUCUUCCUGUCGUUGGAAAACACUUCUCCAAAAUGCAGUUUUGCUUCCGCCUGCAGCUUUGUCUGAUCCCCGGCACCUGUCACGAGUUUCACUUGUGACUCCUCCACAGCCUCCCUGUUACCUUCCUGCCAUCUCCCCACCACAGCAUCCUGAGCUGUAGUAACUCCAAGGCAUUGCCGUGGAUGCGGCAGCAUCCAGCGUGUUGCUGCAGAGCUGGCGGCCCAUGUGUACUCCAUGCGAGAUACACGAGGAAAACUCCUGGACUUCAGUAGAGCAGAAGCUGCCAGUGAGAGCCCGGGACAAAUGCAGAGGAGAUGGGCACUGCUGAGGCGUGUUCACAGUCACACAGGCUCAGGAUCCCACAGCACUGAUUCCGUUUCAGGAACAUUUCAAGCCUUGGUGAGCCUAUAGUCAUACCAGCAGCGACACCAAGUCUCUGCUUAGUUGUCCACUGGUGCUUGAUCCAGUUCCAGGGUGGAACAUGACUGCAUUACUCUCAAAUUAAGGGAAGACACAGAGACCUGAACAUUUUUGAAGGUUAUACCAGGAAUGUCAGUUAAUGUUAGACAUGGGUGCUGCAGCAGGAAAGGCCGAUUCUCACAGCCUGGCUGCGGGGGCUUUGUCCUGCCCAGGCAGAGGAGACAAGUGCUCGCUUCCUCCUAAGCUCGCCAACGUCUGGCAGCCAGUUGUGGUAAUGCUUUUGUGCUGGCAUCAAACGCUGGCACUGCCAGCAUGAGCCUCUCAGUACAGACCAAAUCCGCCAGGUGUACUGGGGAACAGAGCAUGGGUUCAAGAGCCCAAAGACACCCACAUGCAUCUUGUUCAACCAGCAGCAGGAGUUCAAGAGUUUUGGCUAUGAUGCUGUGAUGAAGUACAAGAGCCUGCCCUCCAGCAAAGCUGAGAGCUGGUACUUCUUCCAGAACUUCAAGAUGAAGCUGUAUAACACAGUAGGUGAAAUGGUUACUGCUAUAGGAGUCAGAGCUAUUAAUUUAUUUGUGGUGUGGGGGUUAGAGAACUGAUGAAGAUGGCUGAGUAAAUCUGGCUGAUGAGAAUGAAUGAACAUAAAUCAAGGAGUAUUUUUAUGAACUGAAGAAGAAAUUAUUUAUUUUUGUAAUUAGCCAAAAGCUUCAUGGACCCUUCCUUUAUGAUGUUUUUUAAUUGUUUAAAGACAAUCAAACCUGACCGUGUAUCUGGGCGAAGCCAAAUAGACGUGUGCUGAUUUUGGCUGGAGUAGAGUUAACUUUCUUCACAGUGGCUAGCAUGGGUCUGUGUUUUGGAUUUGUGCUGAACACAGGGUUGAUAAUAUAGAGAUGUUUUGGUUAUUGCUGAGCAGGGCUUAUACAGAGCCAAGGCCUUUUCUGCUUUUUGUACUGCCACAUUGGUGAGGAAGUCGGGGGUGCAUGGGAGGCUGGGAGGAGAUACAGCCAGGACAGGUGACCCAAACUGACCAAAGGGAUAUUCCAGACCAUACGACAUCAUGCUCAGUAUAUAAAGUGGGGGGAAGAAGGAGGAAAGGGGAGAUGUUGGGAGUGAUGGUGUUUGUCUUCCCAAGUCACUGUUAUGUGUGAUGGGGCCUUGCUCUCCUGGAGAUGGCUGAACAUCUUCCUGCCCGUGGGAAGAAGUGAAUUAAUUCUUUGUUUUUCUUUGCUUGCAUACGUGGCUUUUUCUUCCCCUAUUAAACUGUCUUUAUCUCAACCCAUGGUUUUCUGGCUUUUCCCCUUCCAAU